This 409-nucleotide small RNA is filed under the name Histoplasma capsulatum. RNAcentral describes it as "hypothetical RNA". The record is from RNAcentral. Lineage: Eukaryota; Fungi; Ascomycota; Eurotiomycetes; Onygenales; Ajellomycetaceae. RNAcentral also lists the same sequence under 1 other name.
CUGGAAAGCCUGGGGUAUUUUAAAUGCUGAUACGUCAAAUCCUUCUAGAAACGAAAAUGCUGACCUGCAGGAAUUUAAAUUCAACUAUUUUUCGUAUAUGCACACUCUAGAUGGCAAAUCGGUGAUGUCAAUCAAUAAUUUGUAAUUAAAUACUAGUAACAAAUUAUCCGAUACUGAGCAAAUUGACAACGUGUGAAAUAUGUAUAUGACCCUUAUCAUCUAACACUAUUUCCGAAGGCUAAGGGCUGUGGGUUAGGAUUAUUUCCUUCAUCUAGGCUUGAGCAUAUUAGAAUAUUAGUGAUAGCUAUUGCAAUAGGCGGAAUGUUACCAGUCAAUUAGAUUUAGAAUAGUGGCUUGCUUUAUUUUACCAUCCGUAUUUCUAUGAGAGGACGAAGAUGAAGAAAACUUG